This 425-nucleotide ribosomal RNA is filed under the name uncultured bacterium. Its description in RNAcentral is "partial 16S ribosomal RNA". It matches the Rfam family "Bacterial small subunit ribosomal RNA", at positions 354 to 796 of the family's 1533-position model. The record is from RNAcentral.
GUGGGGAAUAUUGGACAAUGGGCGCAAGCCUGAUCCAGCCAUGCCGCGUGAGUGAUGAAGGCCCUAGGGUUGUAAAGCUCUUUCACCGAUGAAGAUAAUGACGGUAGUCGGAGAAGAAGCCCCGGCUAACUUCGUGCCAGCAGCCGCGGUAAUACGAAGGGGGCUAGCGUUGUUCGGAAUUACUGGGCGUAAAGCGCACGUAGGCGGAUAUUUAAGUCAGGGGUGAAAUCCCAGAGCUCAACUCUGGAACUGCCUUUGAUACUGGGUAUCUCGAGUAUGGAAGAGGUGAGUGGAAUUCCGAGUGUAGAGGUGAAAUUCGUAGAUAUUAGGAAGAACACCAGUGGCGAAGGCGGCUCACUGGUCCGGUACUGACGCUGAGGUGCGAAAGCGUGGGGAGCAAACAGGAUUAGAAACCCGGGUAGUCC